UACGAAGGGGGCUAGCGUUGCUCGGAAUGACUGGGCGUAAAGGGCGCGUAGGCGGAACGCUUUGUCGGAUGUGAAAUUCCAGGGCUUAACCUUGGGGCUGCAUUCGAGACGGGUGUUCUAGAGUUUGGAAGAGGGUCGUGGAAUUCCCAGUGUAGAGGUGAAAUUCGUAGAUAUUGGGAAGAACACCGGUGGCGAAGGCGGCGACCUGGUCCUUGACUGACGCUGAGGCGCGAAAGCGUGGGGAGCAAACAGG
RNAcentral lists this ribosomal RNA (253 nucleotides) under uncultured prokaryote. RNAcentral's name for it is "partial 16S ribosomal RNA". It matches the Rfam family "Bacterial small subunit ribosomal RNA", at positions 524 to 776 of the family's 1533-position model. The record is from RNAcentral.